AUGCGAUUCUGCAAACAUCAGGAUGCAGCUGUUUUCUGUGUAAUGAGGAAGCACCGACUAGGUACAAAUACUAUAUUUUUUUAUUCCCUCAAAAAUGGUCUAUGCUGCGAACACAACGUAGGCUACCUUGUGGGGCUGUGGAGAGGCAUCCAGCUGCAGCCUCGCAGACUCACUUCUUGCAGACACCAGUGGCUGGACACCAGUGGAUGGACAGCAGACGUCAUUUCCGUAUCGUCAUUCACUUUUCAAUUUUAACACGCCAUGUAGAUGUCAGCGGCAAAUCACAUUAGUGUGCGUAAAGGGACGGAGCUACCACCAAUACAGAAAUGCACAUAGUGCUGCAGCCGGUAUCACUGCCCGCUGUGCAAUUCAAACACAGUGGGGUACUGUGGAAACGGAAGACGUGGAGACCUUUGAAGGAUUUAUACAGACCCUGAAUUUCGUGAGCAUUGCCCAGACUGCUAGUUUUAGGGGGCAGGAAUGAGGUGUGGUGUGCACAGUGUGCAAUAGUUUAUUUGGAACUGUUCAUGUUUUAUUUUCUCUUGAAAUAGUGACUUCCCCCACAACCUUACGGGCCUGACUGUGGCAUCUUCAUUCUGAUGGUCAGAUUUGACAAAUUUUACUAAUUAGAUUGUGUAAUUUCAAAUAAAUAUUGCAAAACCAUGAAGUGUUUAUUUGAUCUGGAUUGUUUGGUAAAUUGUCUGAUCAUGUGAAUCUACGUAUAUAUUUUAAAAACAGAAGUGGUUACAUUUACAAAAAAAAAGAAAAAUAAAGGAUUGAAUAUCCAAAUGGGCAAGGCAAAAAAACUGUGGUCCA
Carassius gibelio (silver crucian carp) is the source of this 816-nucleotide long non-coding RNA. RefSeq lists it as uncharacterized. Lineage: Eukaryota; Metazoa; Chordata; Actinopteri; Cypriniformes; Cyprinidae. The transcript is spliced from 3 exons. The record is from RefSeq and is a predicted model, not a curated record.